RNAcentral lists this ribosomal RNA (253 nucleotides) under uncultured bacterium. Its description in RNAcentral is "partial 16S ribosomal RNA". It matches the Rfam family "Bacterial small subunit ribosomal RNA", at positions 524 to 776 of the family's 1533-position model. The record is from RNAcentral.
UACGUAGGUGCCCAGCGUUGUCCGGAUUUACUGGGCGUAAAGAGCGCGCAGGCGGUCGUUCAAGUCGAGUGUGAAAGCCCCCGGCUCAACUGGGGAGGGUCACUCGAUACUGAUCGACUUGAAGGCAGGAGAGGGAAGCGGAAUUCCCGGUGUAGUGGUGAAAUGCGUAGAUAUCGGGAGGAACACCAGUGGCGAAGGCGGCUUCCUGGCCUGUUCUUGACGCUGAGGCGCGAAAGCUAGGGGAGCAAACGGG